GCCCUUAGAGUUUGAUCCUGGCUCAGGACGAACGCUGGCGGCGCGCCUAACACAUGCAAGUCGAACGAGAGAGAGGAAGCUUGCUUCCUCAAUCGAGUGGCGAACGGGUGAGUAACGCGUGAGGAACCUGCCUCAAAGAGGGGGACAACAGUUGGAAACGACUGCUAAUACCGCAUAAGCCCACGGGUCGGCAUCGACCAGAGGGAAAAGGAGCAAUCCGCUUUGAGAUGGCCUCGCGUCCGAUUAGCUGGUUGGUGAGGUAAUGGCCCACCAAGGCGACGAUCGGUAGCCGGACUGAGAGGUUGAACGGCCACAUUGGGACUGAGACACGGCCCAGACUCCUACGGGAGGCAGCAGUGGGGAAUAUUGCACAAUGGGGGAAACCCUGAUGCAGCGACGCCGCGUGGAGGAAGAAGGUCUUCGGAUUGUAAACUCCUGUUGUGAGGAAGAUAAAGACGGUACUCAACAAGGAGGUGACGGCUAUUACG
This 488-nucleotide ribosomal RNA is filed under the name uncultured bacterium. RNAcentral describes it as "bacterial SSU rRNA". It matches the Rfam family "Bacterial small subunit ribosomal RNA", at positions 1 to 505 of the family's 1533-position model. The record is from RNAcentral.